AGAGUUUGAUUCUGGCUCAGAACGAACGCUGGCGGCGUGGAUAAGACAUGCAAGUCGUGCGACAGACCAGGAAUUGAUUACUUCGGUUUGAUUUUCCUGACGAUGAGCGGCGAACGGGUGCGUAACACGUGAGAAACCUGCCUUGAAGUUCGGGAUAGCUCGGCGAAAGUCGAAUUAAUACCGGAUGUGGCCUAGGGAUAGCAUUUUCCCUUGGUUAAAGCUCGGUCACAGAGCGCUUUUAGAUGGUCUCGCGGUCUAUCAGCUUGUUGGUGAGGUAACGGCUCACCAAGGCUACGACGGAUAACUGAUCUGAGAGGAUGAUCAGUCACACUGGAACUGAGACACGGUCCAGACACCUACGGGUGGCAGCAGUCGAGAAUCAUUCACAAUGGGCGCAAGCCUGAUGGUGCGACGCCGCGUGGGGGAUGAAGGGCUUCGGUCUGUAAACCCCUGUCAUCUGUGAGUAAGGUCUCGUAUAAAAGCUACGAGGAUUGAUAUUAGCAGAAGAGGAAGGGACGGCUAACUCUGUGCCAGCAGCCGCGGUAAUACAGAGGUCCCAAGCGUUGUUCGGAUUUACUGGGCGUAAAGGGUGCGUAGGCGGUUAGAAAAGUUUGGUGUGAAAUCUUCGGGCUCAACCCGGAAACUGCACUGAAAACUAUUUAACUAGAGGAUCGGAGAGGAGAUUGGAAUUCUCAGUGUAGCAGUGAAAUGCGUAGAUAUUGAGAGGAACACCAGUUGCGAAGGCGGAUCUCUGGACGAUUCCUGACGCUGAGGCACGAAAGCUGGGGGAGCGAAGAGGAUUAGAUACCCUCGUAGUCCCAGCCGUAAACGGUGCGCACUUGCUGUGGGCGGAUUCGACCCCGUCCGUGGCGAAGCUAACGCGUUAAGUGCGCCGCCUGGGGAGUACGGUCGCAAGAUUAAAACUCAAAGAAAUUGACGGGGGCCUGCACAAGCGGUGGAGUAUGUGGCUUAAUUCGAUGCAACGCGAAGAACCUUACCUGGCCUUGACAUGUAGUGGCCCGGGUGCGAAAUCACCCUUUUCUUCGGAACUGCUACACAGGUGCUGCAUGGCUGUCGUCAGCUCGUGUCGUGAGAUGUUGGGUUAAGUCCCGCAACGAGCGCAACCCCCGUGUUCUGUUGCCACCCGGAUGAGAAUCCGGAGCACUCUGGACAGACUGCCUGGUUUCAACCAGGAGGAAGGUGGGGAUGACGUCAAGUCAGUAUGGCCCUUACGGCCA
RNAcentral lists this ribosomal RNA (1238 nucleotides) under marine metagenome. RNAcentral's name for it is "bacterial SSU rRNA". It matches the Rfam family "Bacterial small subunit ribosomal RNA", at positions 8 to 1210 of the family's 1533-position model. The record is from RNAcentral.